CCGGAUAGGAAAUGUAUUCCAUCCCAGAUGCUAGAAUUCACGUCGGCCAUUUUAAGAACGUCGGCCAUUUUAAGAAAACCUCCCAAACGUCGACACGCGGAAUCCGUUGUAAGAGCCGUAGAUUCGUUUAUUUCGCGAAUAAACAUGGCGGUAGUGUCUGUGUCACCCAUAAUGCAGUGCAAACAAGUGGCAAGUGGAUUCACAGCUGUAACAUUUACAUGAUUGUGUGAUGAAAUAAAGCAGGACGUUAGGUACGUUAUCUUUCAUCUAUAGCUAUAUUUAGAGUCACAUCCAGUGCUAGGCUCUGGAUCCAAGAUGAAUUAAUAUAUGGCGUGUUUAUUAUGUUGUGGAAUGUCUGCGACAGUUUACUUCCUGAUAUCACUUAUGUUAUAGCAGCUAUAAAAAAAAUUCAAAAAAAGGGUUGUUCCCUCCCAUGAUAAAAGGCUAACAUCCUGUCAGAAAACUGAAGCGUUACAGCGUGCUGGCACUGGAGACUCCGUCUGUAAAUAUUACACAGACGUCUCCUCACAGAAGACUUACCGUAUUAAGCGUCCACCGUACGAGUCCCCGUGUUAGAAGAGGUGCAUUAAUAUAAACCUGGGGUUUGAUAUAUUUUCAGAACUGCUGUUCAAAUCAAGUACGAACAAAACGAUUAAAACCGUGAAAAACGAGAAGCGUGAACACGAGCUGUGGAUACAAGGACAAAAAAAAACAACAACAACAUACGGAUUAUACACUGUGGCACACACGACAAUAACAAAAGCUCGACAGUGAGAAAUAGAAAAGUUAGAACGUAACACAAUAGUGGCGCUAACAAGUAUAAGACGACACAGGUGAGAGUGAUUAGUGACAGGUGACGUGCUGGGGCUGAUGGGUAGUGUAGUUCAGCGCCCACUGGCAUUACCAUGGUAUAAUGUAAAGUACUAGCUCAUAGGCUCAUCACUAAACCGCCGUUAGCCAGCUACUGAGUGCUCUUCAUCAUCACAUUAUAAUGUUCUGUUUAUUAGAGACUCUUCUUCGUGACGCAGCGUAUGUUCACUGUCCUCAAACACUAUCCAUUCUCUGUACCGCUUAUCCUACACUUGGGUGCACACGAGGCAGGGGACACCCUGCACACACACCGGACACUUAAGACAUGCCAAUCGGCCUACGACGCAUGUCUUUGGACUGGAGGAGGAAACCGGAGUCCGUCCAUCCAUCUUCUAUACCGCUUUAUCCUUUUCAGGGUCACGAGGAAACCUGGAGACUAUCCCAGGGAGCAUCGGGCACAAGGCGGGGUACACCCUGGACAGGGUGCCUAUCAUUCAUACGCUACGGACACUUUGGACACGCCAAUCAGCCUACCAUGCGUGUCUAUGGAUUGGAGGAGGAAACCGGAGUACCCGGAGGAAACCCCCGCAGCACGGGGAGAACAUGCAAACUCCAUGUACACAGGGCAGAGGCAGGAAUCGAACCCCCGACCCUGGAGGAGCGAGGCGUACGUGCUAACCACUAAGCCACCGUACACGCAUAUAAACACACACAUAUAAACAUAUAAGAUUGACUCCGGUGUUCUACACACUUCAUGAGGUAAAGCUGAUAAAAGCGUGUUGAAAGUAGUAAUGGAACACAGCACACGUGUAAUUAAUAUUCAAAGAUCAAACGCUGUAAAAGCAGAGCUAUGUAUGUUCACACGGAAUUGUUGUUAAUUCACUGAAGGUUGACUGGACUCCUGGUCUGUAUUGGGGCUGUGUGUUUUUCUUUGUUUGUUUUUUUUUCUUUUUUUGAUCUCGUGUUGUCGAAGGCUUCUCUGAUUUGUCGUAUGUCUCUAACGCGUCUCUAUCGGAACAGCAUUCCCGUCUCUGUGAACCCUAUGGAGAACGUAAAUAAACUCAACGUUAUGUUUGUACAGCCAGAUCUGGCGGUGACUUUCUCUUCCUCGGCCUCAUACGGAGCAGUGUGAAGGUCAAGGUUUACCGUUCAUAGCAACGGCUUUUCUCUUACAAAACCUUUAAAAGCUUUUCUAUUACCACAGAGCGUGUUCCCUCGACUGAGCGAUGCUGAUGGUUGAGUAGAGAGGGUAAAUAUAGCAGUAAUGAUCACUGCUAGGCCACAACGUUUACAGAGAGACGGGUCGUUUCAGACCUGAAGCUGAUAGGCUAUAUAAGAUUCUUAAAAUUAUACUCAACUCUAGAAUUAUUGGCGCCCAUGAAGAAAAUGAAACUGACACGCACUGUUUAAAUCACUCGUAAGUACUCCACUGAAAUCAUUUUGAAGGCAGUUAAAAGUUCUUAGCUUCCGACAAAAGUUUGUUUUUUUUACUUUACUUUAUAGAGUACUUUAAGUACUUGUACUGUGUAGGGUUCUAUGUAAAUCUUCUAUGAAAAUAAGGGUUCCCCAGUAGGACCAUUGAAAGAUAAGAUAAGAUAAGAUAAGAUGCACCGUUAUAGAUCCAACAUAGGGGAAAUUCAAGUUCACACAGCAGCAGAAGUAGGAGGAGUAACAUCAAGAAUUUCCAGAAUUACCUAAACGUUUACAAUUACCGAAGCAUAAAGUAAAAAUUCCAUCCAUCCAUCCAUCUUCUAUACCGCUUAUCCUUUUCAGGGUCACGGGGAAACCUGGAGACUAUCCCAGGGAGCAUCGGGCACAAGGCGGGGUACACCCUGGACAGGGUGCCAGUCCAUCGCAGGGCAACAAUCACAUACACACUCACACACCCAUUCAUACAGUACGGACACUUUGGACACGCCAAUCAUGUCCAUACCAUGCAUGUCUUUGGACUGAGGGAGGAAACCGGAGUACCUGGAGGAAUGCACAGGGAGAACAUGCAAACUCCACAUACAGACACACACACACACACACACACACACACACGCACACACACGCACACACACAGGGCAGUGGCGGGAAACGAGCCCCCAACCCUGGAGGUGUGAGGCAAACUUGCAAAAAUGAUAGAAGAUGAAUAGAAAUAAUAGAAAGAAUAAAAUAGAUCCGUAUGUAUGUACAUAUGCUAGAGUUUUAUUUGUAUAUAUACAUGUGCAAUAUCCUAGUGAAGUAGUAAUAGGAGGAGGAGGAGGAGCAGUAGUAAUAAUAGUAGUAGUAAUAGGAGGAGGAGGAGGAGUAAUAGUGGUAAUAGUAGUAGUAAUAGGAGGAGGAGGAGGAGGAGGAAUAGUGGUAAUAGUAGUAGUAAUAGGAGGAGGAGGAGGAGUAAUAGUAGUAAUAAUAGUAGUAAUAGGAGGAGGAGGAGGAGGAGGAGUAAUAGUGGUAAUAGUAGUAGUAAUAGGAGGAGGAGGAGGAGGAAUAGUGGUAAUAAUAGUAGUAGUAAUAGGAGGAGGAGGAGGAGGAGGAAUAGUGGUAAUAAUAGUAGUAGUAAUAGGAGGAGGAGGAGGAGUAAUAGUAGU
Ictalurus punctatus (channel catfish) is the source of this 3383-nucleotide long non-coding RNA. Lineage: Eukaryota; Metazoa; Chordata; Actinopteri; Siluriformes; Ictaluridae. The record is from Ensembl.